This is a long non-coding RNA of Sinocyclocheilus anshuiensis, 130 nucleotides long. RefSeq lists it as uncharacterized. The transcript has 2 exons. The record is from RefSeq and is a predicted model, not a curated record. NCBI's taxonomy places the organism in Eukaryota, Metazoa, Chordata, Actinopteri, Cypriniformes, Cyprinidae.
AGGCUAUGACUGAGCACAUUACACUGAGGAUCACCAUCCAUCUUGAUAAUUGUUUUUAGGCAACUCAGGCACACGCUUGUGAGUCUGAGACUGGAUGAAGGGUGAGUUUUGCAUUUCUGUACCAAAUAAA